UGGUAGAGAUCCUAUGGCUCCACGGAUUCAUUUUUGAAUGAAAAAAAAAAAGGUUCCAUUCACAAUAGCAACAAUCACAACAACAACAAAAAAACAUAAAACAACUAGGAAUAACUGAUAAGAAAUGUGUAGAACUUAUAUGAAGAAAACUACAGAAUCAUAAUCAUACGUGAGUGGGAUAACAUUAGACUUGAAAUAAUGGAGAGGCUUAGCAUUGUCCUGAAUGAAAAGAGGGAAAACUAAAAGGAUGUCAGUUCUUCCCAAAUUAAAUGAAUAGACUUAACUCACUUCUACCCAAAAAUCCAAUUGGGAACAAAGCUGUGAAGAAUGGAGACCUAUUUUGAAAGCAGAAUGUAAGACACCAAUUUCCGCAGGCAUAUAAUAUGUAAUAUCUGCAGAUAUUAUAUAUAAAAGGGGAGAAAUAGAAUUCUUUAGAAUAUUUCAAAACAUAAAAAUCCAUGUCGGAGAAUCUCAGAGCUAAAGCAAAGAUAGCAAAAACCGGAUACAAAGAUUGUCUAAAGACAACCUAGAAAAUAAUCUUCCAAAAAUCUCUCAACGUAAUGCUAAAAGUGAACUCUUUCUUUGGCUUGAGUGAAUCACUGAAAAGCAAACUAAAACACUGAAUUCUGAAAGAAGAAAAAGAAAAAGAAAAAAGAAGAGCUUGCAAGAAUAUUGUGUAUCAGUUGUACACAAUUCAACGAUUUGAUCUUGCUUCCAUCUUAGCAACCCAGAUCUUCACCUCUCUCAGGAGUGGCCACUUGAAAAGCCAGAGACACACAGGGAGAACACCAGAUGAUGAUGAAUGCAGAGAUUGGAGUUAUGCUGCUGCAAGCCAAGGAAAGUCAAAAGUAGCCAGCAAAACACCAGAAGCAAAGAAGAAGCCAGGAAGAAUUCCCCUACAAGUUUUCCAGAGAGCAUGGCCUGGCCAACACCUUGAUUUUGGACUUCUAGGCUCUAGAAAUCUGAAAGAAUAAAUUUCUGUUGUUUUAAGGCA
Molecule: non-coding RNA, 994 nt
Organism: Microcebus murinus (gray mouse lemur)
Lineage: Eukaryota; Metazoa; Chordata; Mammalia; Primates; Cheirogaleidae
Source: RefSeq, a predicted model, not a curated record